This 269-nucleotide ribosomal RNA is filed under the name uncultured prokaryote. RNAcentral describes it as "partial 16S ribosomal RNA". It matches the Rfam family "Bacterial small subunit ribosomal RNA", at positions 524 to 792 of the family's 1533-position model. The record is from RNAcentral.
UACGGAGUAUCCGAGCGUUAUCCGGAUUUAUUGGGUUUAAAGGGUGCGCAGGCGGGAGAUUAAGUCGGCGGUGAAAUUUUGCAGCUCAACUGUAAAAGUGCCUUCGAAACUGGUUUCCUUGAGUGUGGAUGAAGUAGGCGGAAUUUGUGGUGUAGCGGUGAAAUGCAUAGAUAUCACGAGGAACUCCGAUUGCGCAGGCAGCUUACUAAACUACUACUGACGCUCAGGCACGAAGGCGUGGGGAUCAAACAGGAUUAGAUACCCGCGUA